AUCCUUUUGUAGUUCAUAAGCGUGAUGAUUGGGUGUUCACGCUGUUGUGUGACAUGUGCCUCCCUCAAACCUUGUUACGACCUGGGCACAUUACCCGUCUGACG
This is a small nucleolar RNA of Ailuropoda melanoleuca (giant panda), 104 nucleotides long. The record is from Ensembl. Lineage: Eukaryota; Metazoa; Chordata; Mammalia; Carnivora; Ursidae.